GGAUAACUGGGAAAAGCAAAAUGAUAUCCUUUCUGUGAUAAAAUAACAUCAGUCUAGCCUCAAAUUAUUUAUACAAAAAAAUUUUGCCAAACAAUGUGAAGCAUACAACCAAAAAUAAGCAGACAAACAAGAAGACAAUGUGACAUGAAUAAAAACCAAGAAGGAAAAAACUAGAGUAAAUAAAUAUCAACAAGGACUUCAGUUAUUAUAGUUUCAAAGACAGUCUUCAAAAUAAAUAAGUUCACAAGCUCAAGAAGAUGAAAGCAUGAAAACUUCAGCAGAGAACUGAGAAAAAUAUAUAUGCAUGUACCUGAAGAAACAAAUGAAAAUUGAAAAACUAAAAAGUAAAAUAAUUAAAAUUGAAAACUUGGUGCCUGAGUAUAACAGCUUUUACAUACACUUAAAAAGAUUAGUAAUGAGUUGGAAGAUAAAUCAUAAGAAAAUAUUCAAAAUAAAGCAUGGAAAGAUAAAGAGAUGGGAAACAGGUGAUAGGGUAUAUGAAAGGCACAGUGAGAAGAUUUAACAUAUGAAUAUACCUAGAAGGGAAGAAGAAGGAGAAUGGAAAAGAAGCAAUACUUGAAGACAUAAUAGCUGAUGUUGUCCAGGCUGAAGUCCUGAGCUCAAGCGAUCCAAGCGAUCCACCCACCUUGACCUCCCAAGGUGCUGGGAUUAUAGGCAUGAGCCACUGCACCUGGCCUCCAAUGCAAUUUUAUAAAGCUUUCCCAAUUAGUGAAGUGCCAGAUGUUACAGCUUCUUACUGUAAUGACUUGUCGUAUUUAAUAAAUUAGUCGUAUCUACACAUACAAGCAGAACCAGCAGAAACUUUUCUUGACUCGGGACCUGACUUAAUUAUUCUUUGAAAAGCUUUUUCUGACUAAGCUCACCAUAUAAAUAAUCUACAUGCCAUUUAGUCAGACUAUCUGCAGCUUGGCCGUGUUCUCUGUCUUGGUUCUUAAGUUGUUACUGUUUUAAAUUACAGAUCCUUUGAGAACCUGAUGAAAGCUAUGAGUCCUCUCUGCAGAAAAUAUACACAUGCGCAUAUGCAUAAAUCUGGACAUAUGCUUUCAAGGACCCCCUGAAAGACCAUCUGUGGACCCCUUAUGGAGCCCAUGAACUCUCAGGUGUGUUCGUCUCUAGCUGGAAGGCAUUGACAGAAUGGAGGUUCACCCAGAGUCAGCUGAAGACUUCGUUGCCUCUGACUGGAACCCUGGACUCAGUAGCCCUCUAGCAAUUGACAUUACUGUUCGAGAUGCCACCUGUGUAUGGCUGGGAGGUGAGGUCCUGUUGUAUCAAGCCCUGGUAUUUUGUUGAAGCCCUUCAGCAUUGAAUUGUGUUUUCUUAGAAAUAAGGGCCCUUGGAAUUUGGGGGUGGAGAAGCAGGGUUCUGCGUCCAGGUCUGUAUAGUUCUUUGGUAAAGUCAUGUAAUACAGCCUCUGCCAUUUCAAAUCUAACUGGGUGCUGACACUCAGGCUAAUCUACACCAUAUAUUUUUGACAUUUCACGAGUAGUGAGUUAACAAUUGGAAUAACUCUGGCUCAAAUUUUACUUAUUAAUUAAAGUUGGCAUUUAAAGAAGAUUUGUUAAUAGCAUUCAUAGAACAUUCAGAGACCCAGGCUCUGUGUUGAGCGUUCCGCAUUUCCUUUAGUCUGCACGACAAUCUCAUGAGGCAGGAAAUCUAAUUGCCUCCAUUCCACGCAUGGCACAAAUGAGGCCCAGAGAACUUUUUAAAUUCUCUGGCAAUUUACUUUCACAGGUCAAAUAACUAACAAAUAGUAGAGCUAGGAUUUGAAAGCAGGCAGAUUUCAAGACCAGAAUGUUUAAACCUUAAACUAUAGUUCAU
RNAcentral lists this long non-coding RNA (1839 nucleotides) under Homo sapiens (human). Its description in RNAcentral is "HSALNT0022196". The record is from RNAcentral. Lineage: Eukaryota; Metazoa; Chordata; Mammalia; Primates; Hominidae.